This 72-nucleotide transfer RNA is filed under the name Stegodyphus mimosarum. It matches the Rfam family "tRNA". Rfam says of the family: Transfer RNA (tRNA) molecules are approximately 80 nucleotides in length. Their secondary structure includes four short double-helical elements and three loops (D, anti-codon, and T loops). Further hydrogen bonds mediate the characteristic L-shaped molecular structure. tRNAs have two regions of fundamental functional importance: the anti-codon, which is responsible for specific mRNA codon recognition, and the 3' end, to which the tRNAs corresponding amino acid is attached (by aminoacyl-tRNA synthetases). tRNAs cope with the degeneracy of the genetic code in two manners: having more than one tRNA (with a specific anti-codon) for a particular amino acid; and 'wobble' base-pairing, i.e. permitting non-standard base-pairing at the 3rd anti-codon position. The record is from Rfam by way of RNAcentral. Lineage: Eukaryota; Metazoa; Arthropoda; Arachnida; Araneae; Eresidae.
GUCUUCGUGGUGUAGUGGUCUGCAUGUUCGACGUGUAACCGAGAGGUCGUGGUUCGAUUCCCGCCGAAGGCG